AGGACGAACGCUGGCGGCGUGCUUAACACAUGCAAGUCGAGCGGAAAGGCCCUUCGGGGUACUCGAGCGGCGAACAGGUGAGUAACACGUGAGCAACCUGCCCUUAGCUUCGGGAUAGCUCCGGGAAACCGGAAUUAAUACCGAAUAUGACUGCGGCUGACAUCAGCCACGGUGGAAAGUUUUUCGGCUAGGGAUGGACUCGCGGCCUAUCAGCUAGUUGGUGAGGUAACGGCCCACCAAGGCGACGACGGGGUA
RNAcentral lists this ribosomal RNA (255 nucleotides) under uncultured bacterium. RNAcentral describes it as "partial small subunit ribosomal RNA". It matches the Rfam family "Bacterial small subunit ribosomal RNA", at positions 26 to 285 of the family's 1533-position model. The record is from RNAcentral.